Rosa chinensis is the source of this 889-nucleotide long non-coding RNA. RefSeq lists it as uncharacterized. NCBI's taxonomy places the organism in Eukaryota, Viridiplantae, Streptophyta, Magnoliopsida, Rosales, Rosaceae. The transcript is spliced from 6 exons. The record is from RefSeq and is a predicted model, not a curated record.
CGGUCGCCGUCGCCCACGAUCUCAUGGAGGCAGAGACUCAGGACGACGUGGGAAUUCAAAUGUAUACAUCAACACUCAUCGUCUUCCAAUUCCCAGUUCACACAAAAAUAGGAAACAAAUAAAGAAAGAAGAGCAGCGCAGAAUCAAACCAAAAAGGAGGAGAAAAUUCUUAUCAAAUCGGCUUAGGUCAGACUUGAUAAUUAUCAUUGGAAGUAUUAGGCGAAGCCACUUUUGCACUCUUUUACGGAAUAUUUAUGUUUGAAUUCUGAAUUGUGCUUUAGUUAUGUUAUCCCCAAAGCUUGGAUCCACUCUUUUGGGUUAGUGGAUUACUGCAUUGGGGGUUUAAGAAGCUGCGGUAGUUAGAGGUUGUGGAAAGUGUGGACUAUAGUAUUUGGCUGAGCCUAUUGAUGCAUGCUCGACAUUGACUAAUGAAGCCAGACAUGGCAAGAAUUAUAGCUCCCCUUUUGUGUUGAUUAUAAGAGGAGGGUGCAGUUUUGACUUUUGAGGAUAAAGUUAGAAGAGCUCAAAAGCUUGGGUUCAAAGCUGCAAUUUUUUACGACAAAGAAGAGAGCGGCGUCUUUGUUUCAAAAAGAGAACUCAUAGAGGUAGAACUGAAAGCAGAUCGAUAAGGACCUGUUGAUCCAUAUUCAAGCAUGUAUAUAUGAAUGGCAGAUUGGACACUAGAUAUAAAAUUAUGAUCAACAAGCAAAACUGAAAGCAAAUUGAUAAGGACCUGUUGGUCUAUAUUCAAGCAGAAAAUCCUUUUGCAUCGACCGGAUUAUAUUGAUACUUUGAUAGUACACCAAAAGACUGGGCAACUCGACGGUCAACUCAAGUCCGGUUGGGUUCACAUACCACUAUGUCUGAGUCAGAUUCACAUACUAGACCG